RNAcentral lists this ribosomal RNA (301 nucleotides) under uncultured bacterium. RNAcentral's name for it is "partial 16S ribosomal RNA". It matches the Rfam family "Bacterial small subunit ribosomal RNA", at positions 509 to 807 of the family's 1533-position model. The record is from RNAcentral.
CAGCAGCCGCGGUAAUACAGAGGAUUUAAGCGUUAUCCGGAAUGAUUGGGCGUAAAGCGUCUGUAGGUGGCUUUUCAAGUCCGUCGUCGAAUCCCAGGGCUCAACCCUGGACAGGCGGUGGAAACUACCAAGUUGGAGUACGGUAGGGGCAGAGGGAAUUUCCGGUGGAGCGGUGAAAUGCGUUGAGAUCGGAAAGAACACCAACGGCGAUAGCACUCUGCUGGGCCGACGCUGACACUGAGAGACGAACGCUAGGGGAGAAAAUGGGAUUAGAUACCCCGGUAGUCCCUGUCUCUUAUAC